RNAcentral lists this ribosomal RNA (336 nucleotides) under uncultured Glomeromycotina. RNAcentral describes it as "eukaryotic LSU rRNA". The record is from RNAcentral. Lineage: Eukaryota; Fungi; Glomeromycota.
GGAUCACCUUUUGAGUUUGUUCUUGUGGGUUUCGAGGAGUUUAAAAGCCUUCGGAUUUGCUAGGAUUGGGCUCUUUUGGUGUACUUUCUCGUACGGUUAGUCAACAUCGGUUUUGAAUGUCAUAAAAUGACUGGAGGAAUGUGGCUUCGAUCUCGUAUCGAAGUGUUAUAACCUUUGGUAGAUGUGAUGUUUGAGACCGAGGAUUGCAACGGAUACCUUCUGGGCUAUUCGUCUGAUCUCUGAUACGUUGCCUUGAUGUCGAAAGCGUGCUUAUGAUGUUAGGGUAUUACGGUCAAAAGGUUAGAACGGAUUAAAUUCGUUAAGGAUGUUGACGUA